GGUUCAGGUAGCUCAGCUGGUUAGAGCAAAGGACUGAAAAUCCUUGUGUCAGUGGUUCGAAUCCACUUCUAAGCGGGC
Molecule: non-coding RNA, 78 nt
Organism: Lupinus albus (white lupine)
Lineage: Eukaryota; Viridiplantae; Streptophyta; Magnoliopsida; Fabales; Fabaceae
Source: the annotation of a GenBank genome assembly